UACAGAGACUGCAAGCGUUAUUCGGAUUCACUGGGCGUAAAGGGUGCGCAGGCGGCCAAGUGUGUGAGGCGUGAAAGCCCGGGGCUUAACCCCGGAAUUGCACCUCAAACUACAUGGCUAGAGCAUUGGAGAGGGUAGCAGAAUUCACGGUGUAGCAGUGAAAUGCGUAGAUAUCGUGAGGAAUACCAGAGGCGAAGGCGGCUACCUGGACAAUUGCUGACGCUCAGGCACGAAAGCUAGGGGAGCGAACAGG
This 253-nucleotide ribosomal RNA is filed under the name uncultured bacterium. RNAcentral's name for it is "partial 16S ribosomal RNA". It matches the Rfam family "Bacterial small subunit ribosomal RNA", at positions 524 to 776 of the family's 1533-position model. The record is from RNAcentral.